GACGAACGCUGGCGGCGUGCUUAACACAUGCAAGUCGAACGGAAAGGCCCUGCUUUUGUGGGGUGCUCGAGAGGCGAACGGGUGAGUAACACGUGAGUAACCUUCCCUUGACUUUGGGAUAACUUCAGGAAACUGGGGCUAAUACCGGAUAGGAGCUCCUGCUGCAUGGUGGGGGUUGGAAAGUUUCGGCGGUUGGGGAUGGACUCGCGGCUUAUCAGCUUGUUGGUGGGGUAGUGGCUUACCAAGGCUUUGACGGGUAGCCGGCCUGAGAGGGUGACCGGCCACAUUGGGACUGAGAUACGGCCCAGACUCCUACGGGAGGCAGCAGUGGGGAAUAUUGCACAAUGGGCGGAAGCCUGAUGCAGCAACGCCGCGUGCGGGAUGACGGCCUUCGGGUUGUAAACCGCUUUCGCCUGUGACGAAGCGUGAGUGACGGUAAUGGGUAAAGAAGCACCGGCUAACUACGUG
This 468-nucleotide ribosomal RNA is filed under the name uncultured bacterium. Its description in RNAcentral is "partial 16S ribosomal RNA". It matches the Rfam family "Bacterial small subunit ribosomal RNA", at positions 28 to 507 of the family's 1533-position model. The record is from RNAcentral.